CAGUCGCCACGGUAAUACGUAGGGUGCGAGCGUUAAUCGGAAUUACUGGGCGUAAAGCGUGCGCAGGCGGUUAUUCAAGUUAGAUGUGAAAGCCCUGGGCUCAACCUGGGAACUGCAUCUUAUACUGCGUAGCUGGAGUGCAGUAGAGGGUAGUGGAAUUCCCAGUGUAGAGGUGAAAUUCGUAGAGAUGUGGAGGAACACCAGUGGCGAAGGCGACUCUCGGGUCUGUAACUGACGCUGAGGAGCGAAAGCGUGGGGAGCGAACAGGAUUAGAUACCCGGGUAGUCCCUGUCUCUUAUAC
RNAcentral lists this ribosomal RNA (301 nucleotides) under uncultured bacterium. RNAcentral's name for it is "partial 16S ribosomal RNA". It matches the Rfam family "Bacterial small subunit ribosomal RNA", at positions 509 to 807 of the family's 1533-position model. The record is from RNAcentral.